CGGGGCGGGGGCGUGGAGGGGGCCGCCCGCGUGGGGUCGGCUGCGGCCCGGCAGAGUUGGCGCGCGAGGGUGUGGAAGCCGAGAGGUGAUCCUGCCGACCGCACCGCGGACGCGUGCGGGACGCUGUCCCCUGUCUACUCCGCGCUCCCAGGUGCCCGUGAUGAAUGACACAUCGAUCAACCCAUAGUCUUCAGACAUUGCCGUGUGAAGCCAAUGAAAGAUAUCUGCUGGUAACCAAAUGAUGAUCUUAUGAAAAGACCGCGGGGACUAUGAGCUAUCCUGGGGUUCCACGUGCCAGAGACAUGAAGAAAGCAGAGCGGUCCCAGAGAAAAGUGACCGUGGAGGAGGAGCUUCCGCCAGAAGCGAGGGAAUAGGGGAAGAACUGUUGAGAUCUAGAGAAGCAGUGGCCCGAGUUAACGGCAGAGCAAAUGGACCCAGUGUACCCUUGUGAGCUGACAAACGGCAGCCUUGAGCUCUUGAGUGAAACAUGAUGGCAUUUCCUGAAUGCUGACUGUAGGAGAAGCCUGAAAGGGCAGGCAGACCACGCGGGUCCACCGCCUUAGAGCUGUGGACGGUCUUUGUACCUCAUUGAGCCUCAGUGUCUUCCUCUGCAAAAUCACCCUGCCAUUUGGGGAGUAAGCUGAGAUACUCUAGUAAAUGUGCCUGAGAGUCCACGGUUGUCCAGAGAAUGUUCAUCGAUUCACUUUUUCAUUGGUUUCUUCUCAAUCAGCAAGGCAGAAGCACUGAUCCUCGUCCAGUCUCCAGAAGCCUUUGCUGUUUGUCUGCCUUUGUAGAUAGUCUUUUUCUUUUUUUCUUCUGAACAGAGAAAGAGCGCAAGCAGAGGAGAGGGGAGGAGAGAGAGAAUCUUAAGCAGGCUCCAUGCUCAGCGCAGACUGCAACGUGGGGCUCGAUCCUAUGACACUGGGAUCAUGACCUGAGCCCAAAUCAAGAGUCAGACACUUGAGGCACCUGGGUGGCUCAGUCAUUUAAGCCUCUGGCUCUUGAUUUGGGCUCAGGUCAUGAUCUCAUGGUUUGUGGGAUCGAGUCCUGCAUCAGGCCCAGUGCUAACAGCAUGGAGCCUGCUUGGGAUUCUGUCUUUCCCUCUCUUUCUCUUCCCCUCCUCUACUCGUGUUCUCUCUCAAAAUAAAUAAAUAAACAUUAAAAAAAAAAAAAAAAACACUCAACCCACAGAGCCACCCAGGCAUCCCUGCCUUUGUAGCCAUUCUGAGCACCAAGAAUCAUUUUCACGGGGGUGUUAGAAUAAAACUGUGGGCGGGACCCUGAGGAAGAAACCCUACCAGAGCCAUAGUUCCACUUGCCGGGCCUGGGAGAUCCCACCCCGCCCCUAGUCUGGGCAGGCUCAGAAGCGGGGAGCUUGCUUGUGAGUCUUCUGGGCUAAGGGGAGAUCGAUGUGCAAAGUUCUCUAGCCUCUCUCCAGUGCUACUACCUCAAGGCUGUCGAUGUUACGUGGUAGCCGAGAGCUGGGUUCAUGCCCUACUCCACCACUGGCUGUCCACACGGACCCGCACAACCACGCAUAGCCGAAAUCUACGCAUCGAGCUCUGCUACCCGCCGGCCACCAUGCUGGGUGCUGGGAGACUGUGGGGAACAAAAAUCAAGGUUUCUGUCCUCACAGACCCCAUGGCCGGGCUUAACUGCUCUUAGCCUCAGUUUUCUCGUUUGUAAUUUUUUUUAAUGUUUUAUAUUUGAGAGAGAGAAAGAGAGGGAGAAUAGGAGUAGGGGAGGGGCAGAGAGAGAGAGAGAGGGAGACACAGAAUCCGAAGCAGGCUUUAGCCUCUGAGCUGUCAGCACAGAGCCCGACAGGGGGCUUGAACCCUUCGAGCUGUGAGAUCAUGACCUGAGCCAAAGUUGGACACUUAACCGACCGAACCCUCCAGGCACCCCUCAGUUUUCUCAUUUGUAAAAUGGGAAUAAUACCUAUCUCAUAACUUUGCUAUACGACUAAAUGAGGUGACAGCCAAGGAGCUGAGGACAGCGCCUGUCACACAGCAGUUACCAUGUUUUGACAUGAUAGCUCUGGUUAUUUAUUACAACUCUGAACACUGCUGUGUUUGUUUUCCAGGCACAAGAGUCAUACCUAUCAGUAUCUAAUGAUUAGAUCUGUGUUAUGGGGAAAAAAACCCUAAAAAUGUGACUAUGUUUACAUGUAUUUAAAUAAAUGAAGGAAAAAUGGCAAAUAAAAUGGUGGAAUUAAAGGGGAAAAGAGAGAGCCUAUUAUGCCUUGGAAUUAUUUGAGUUGUUUAAACAAUUAUGCA
Molecule: long non-coding RNA, 2276 nt
Organism: Neofelis nebulosa (Clouded leopard)
Lineage: Eukaryota; Metazoa; Chordata; Mammalia; Carnivora; Felidae
Exons: 4
Source: RefSeq, a predicted model, not a curated record